CAGGAAGAACCAAGAAGCCAAUAUUUGGAAUACUGGGGCCAAAUAUUUGCCUUAAAUUCGUUCCCUCAAUAUCAAAAAAAAAAGUAGGUUUCCUUCCUCAUUUAAGUAUCACAUGAUUAGAAUGGGUAUCCUGGAAAGAGCUUGAGUGUCUUUGGAUAAUUAUUAAGGGAAAGCAUGUACUUCUACUUGGUUAUCUGUGGCCUAACCAAAUGAUGUGGAAGUUACUGCUCAGCUAGUGAACCAGGGAGUCUCACGGAUGCCCUGUGCUCUUUGGAAUAAUAGCAUGGGUGGCCUGUGAAAGCCAGAGGGAGGGAAGGCUUGAGCAGUAACAGUUUAUCCCUUGUAAAGAUUCAUAUUAGAGUUUUCUUCUGGUUUCUGCUGUUUUCCCCUAAAAUUCUUUAUAUCUCAGUUGUUUACAGAAAAUGGGCCACAAAGAUGAAUGGCCAAUUUGUUCUCUGAGAAUAGCACCAAAGUGUCCUGUCAUGGUCUGAAAUAGCCACCCUUGCUGAAAUUGUGUGUUUACAGAUAAUGCCUCCCCAUUUGGGCAUUUUUUCUUUCAAAAGUGAAUUAUCAUCAAUAGCUACCUUUAUUCAUAUCUCUUCUCCUCAACCUCAUUCCUAUCCCUAUUGCUGAGUAUCCAAAAUAGAUCUGCUGCUGAAGAAAAAAUUACUUGCUCCCCUGUCUCUUCCCACCAGGCCUGCAGUUUGCCCUCAAACUUAUGUCUAUGCACAAGGCGAGCUGUGUCUUAUGUCCAUUCUCAUACUUUGUAUUAGGGGUCAAUACACUCGGUAAGUGCAUAUCUGAUACAGUAGGAUUCCUACCAGCUUUAAACCCAAGGGCGUAUUGCAGAAGACUGGCCCUUGACUGAUUGGCUUGGGUAACAUUUUUGGCAGUGCUUCUUUCUGGGGUUGUGUUCACAAGACUCUCAGUUUUAUUUCCAAUUAGAUCAAGGUGACCUUCCCCUUCUCCAAGCUGAAUCUCCUGUGAGACUCAUGAAUCCGGUUGAGGUCUAUCACAGCUGUUCUUAAUUAACUCCUAGAGCACCUCCAGUCUUAAAAUAGCUGACAUAAAAAUAAGACUGCACAUGAAGGAAGAACACAAUGGUCAGGCACAUCACUCUACAUUUUUAUCAAAUGAUUUGUGUUAGGACUUGAAACUUGCUUAGUGCUUGACGUUUUGAAUUCAAAGUUAGAUGCAGAAACUGAAAGAAGCUUAAUCACAGAGCAUAGAAUUAGGACCCAUCAUAUUCAAUAUCUGGGAACACUGAGAUCAGGCUGCUUUAGAACUUAGCUCUCAUUUGUCUGGUUAGCCUCCAAGAGAUCACUCUCUCAUGCAGGUGAGGCUGAUAGCAAGACCACUGCCUCCAUCCCAUCUAUUCUUCAAGCCUUAACUCCCCUAGGACUUAAUAACAUCAGCCACGCUUCGGGGGUGAGAGAGAAUGAUCCCCUCCUUUCUGCUUGUCUGCUUGUCUUUCUGUUUCUCUAGGAGAAGGGUAAUUUUACUGCCUACCUUGGGAAACACGAGAGUUGAACAUGAUAACUAUACAUGAUGGAUGAAACCAGCGUUAGGUGCUAUAAAUUUGGAAGUGGAACUUGAUAUUCUGGAGUGAUGUGUGCUCUUUUUGAAAAGAAAACACGUCUGAGUCAUUUUAGAAAGGAUCAUUUCUGCCACCUCUCCAAAAUCCAGACAUAACUUCAAGAUAUUGUGAGUCCAGCUGCAGAUCACUGCAAUAAAGUGCGUAUCUCAGUGAGGUGAGUCACACAAAGUUUUUGGUUUCUCAGGGCAUAUAAAAGUUAUGUUUACACUAUAUUGUGGUCUAUUAAGUGUGCAAUAUCAUUAUGUCUAAAAAAACCAGUGUCAUACCUUUAUUAAACAAUACUUGAUUGUUAAAAAAUGCUAGCCAUAAUUUUUCCAUGCAGGGUUGCCAUAAAAUUUCAAUUUGUAAAAUCACAAUAUCUGUGAAGCACAAUAAAAUGAAGCAAUCCUGUAUUCCCAAAACAAUGGUUAAGUAAAACUGUAAUUUAAAACACUGGAAAUACCACCAAUGGAAGAAGACAUUUUUCCUGUCUUUUAAGUUAGGAAAGAAUAAUACCUCCUAUAUCAGAAUCUUAGAGAAAUGAUGUUUACUCAGGAGCCAUAAUACUGGUGUCUGGCAACAGAAUCCACAUUGUUUUUUCUCAAAAUUAUUAACUUCUUUUUGGCUAUGUCUGCAGCACACAUAAGUUCCAGGGCAAGGGAUUGAACAUGCACUGCACCAGUGACCCAAGCCACAGCAGGGACAAUGCUAGGUCCUUAACCACUGGGCCCCCAGGGAAUUCCCUCAAAAUUUUUCAUUUCAGUGGCCCAUAGAUGUUUUCCCUCCAUGAGAGAACAUACCAGCAUUUUUUUAAAAUUAUUUUUUAUUUUAUUAUUUUUUGCUUUUUUUAGGGCCACGACUGCAGCAAAUGGAAGUGCCCAGGUUAGGGGUCAAAUCAGAGCUACAGCUGCUGACCUGUGCCACAGCCGCAGCAAUGCCAGAUCCAAGCUGCAUCUGCAACCUACACCACAGCUCAUGGCAACACUGGAUCUUUAACCCACUGAGUGAGGCCAGUGAUCAAACCCGCAUCCUCAUAAAUCCUGAUCAGAUUCAUUUCUGCUGCACCAAAAUGAGAACUCCCCCAGUGUUUAUUUUAGAUUCUCUAUUAAUAAGGAGUAGUACCUUGUACAUAAAAAGUGCUUCUAAGAGUUCCCAUGCUCAGCGGAAACAAAUCUGACUAGUAUCCAUGAGGAUGAAGGUUCGAUCCUUGGCCUUGCUCAGUGGGUUAAGGAUCCAGCAUUGCCUUGAGCUAUGGUGUAGGCCAUAGAUGGGGCUGGGAUCCCGCAUUGCUGUGGCUGUGGUGUAGGCCAGCAGCUGCAGAUCUUGAUUCAACCCCUAGCCUAGGAACCUCUAAAAACACCUGCUUCUUGCUUUUCAUGAUAUUUUCACAUGUGCUCUUUAAUUGCUUAUUACAGUAAUAACCCUGUGCCGAGACCAGCUCAUCAGGUAAGGGCUGAAGAAUGGGUGCUGUGAAACUUAAGAAAAAGUUUACAUAAAACAAGACACACAGACAUUUAUCUUAAUUAGAGGUUGGAACUAGGGGACUCAAGGUUUCAGGGAUCAAGAGCGCUGCCUCAAGAAACCACACUGUUUUUAUUGUGCUCUUUAGGAUUAAGUGAGGAGGGGGUUGCAGGUCCAGGUUUAGUUCUUUUAUUAUUUUAAAAAGUCUUUUUAUUAUUUUAAAAGUCACAUAGCUGGUAUGUGAUUAAGCUUUUAUUCUGACCUUUAGGCAUUUAACAAUCAUUAACAUUGAGGAAGCCUGGCAUCAACUAUCUAUACAUAGCAUCUAGAGAAUCACCAUUAUGCUUCUGAAAAGGGCAUACCUAUCUGAGGCAACCCGGAGUGCCUAGGUUUGCACCUUGUUCUCCUUUCCGAUGCAUAUUCUGUUAACGACCACUCAUAAACCCCCUGGGGCCAUGAGGUUCUUCUUUCUCUUAUUUUAACAGGACAUAUCAUGCUGUGCAAACAGCGUGACAAUCUGCACAGGACUGGCUUGCCUAGACCAACACAUUAAGUAAUCAUUCAGCUGACCCUAUGAAUAACUUAUGCCUUUAGGUCUUUGUUCUUAAAUUUAAAUCAUUUACCGGCACUGCGACUGUUUUUCAAGCAGGAAUAUGGGGUAAAGUAAAACAGGACAAGAUGGAGUUAUCCGCAUAGAAAAUAGAAGCAAAGAGGCUACGACAAGAUUGUAGAAACAUGUCUCCUGACAACCCUGUGCUGGUAUUAUUAUUUCAGAAGCCCUACAAGUUUGGGAAAGACAUGCAAAAAAAAAAAAGAAAUGUUGGUUGCGAUUCUCCACCUGGCUUCCUACAGUCCUUUCUUCCCAAUAUUUAAAAGCUAUAAAGGAAGGAAGACUGGUAUUUUAAACACUGAAGUAUUGCUCAAAGAAAAUUCAUUUCUCUGUUAGAAGAGGAUAAUUUGUUCUUCCAAGGUUGUACAAAUGCACCGUCCACUCAGAUUGUAUGGUUUCAAGAGUUUAUACUAUACAGCCUCAUUUUUACCUCUCUCCAGUGCCUACCCUGAGAAGAAAGAAACAUAGUACUGGCCCAAUAAUUCUUGUGACACACAGUGUUUGGAUUUCAGAGUAGGAACAUGGGGAAACAUACGGCCACUCUCUCAACUGUGUGCUUCUAUUACAGAAAUUUGAGUGUUCUUUUAAAGGGAGGUAUGGAUUUGUUUUCCUUGCCAGCAGCCACAGGGUGACUAAUGAUCUACUUAACCUGCAUCGUAGCAGUCAUUAGAGUAAUUUGGAAUUUAACUUUUAUGUACAUAUAUGUGUGUACAUGUCCUACGAGCAUAAAUGAAAUUAUAUACAUGUGUAACAGAUAUUUCUAUGUCCUGUUUCCCCUUCAUUUCUGGCAUCGGGCCUUGUGUAUUCUUAGGGCUCAAUAAGUAUGUGUCAAAUCAAUCAGAAACAAAAUGAAAGAAAUAAAAUCAAUAAGUCUGUCAAUCUGCAAACUUAUCCAUAGUAAACAGUAGAAGCAAUGUUUUUCUUUCAAAAAAGUUUCCAAGCAAAACAAAUCUUGUUUAUGCUCCUUAAUGACUUAGCACUCAACAACUCCCAGCUCAAAAAAUAAACUAAGGUGAAAUAAAACAUUACCUCUGUUAUUACAAAUGUCUUCAGAAUUAUUUGUUCAUCAUAAAUUCAGUUAUGAUUGAAUUUUGUUUUUAUAAACUUUUGAAAAUAUAUUUCAUUUUGCUCCUUGUUCUAAUUAUACUUGUAGUAGGGUGGAAUUCUCUUUCUCAAUUACUUCUUUUUCUCUCUGCCCACUUCUGUAAAAAGACAGAUAUGAUUUUUUUUUAAAAUGCCAUGCUCUGAAGAAUUUAAGGAUCAAAAAUCUUCCUCUGAAGAUUCACAAUAUCAAUCUGAUGUCUUCCAUCAAGGAUGGAGGCAAGAAACUAGCUUAAAACCUUGAUGCUUUGAUGGUGCCUCUCCAAAAUGCAUUCAAGUACAUGAAAUUGGAAUGGGGAUGGGCAGGAAAGAAAGAGAAAAAAGAAGCAGAAUCUCUUCUCCAGAUCCUGAAUCUGGGAUGGCCCCAUGACUUACUUUGAUCAAUAAUAUGUGGCAGAAGUGAUGCAUGUAACUUCUGAGGUCCAGGAGAAUACCAGAGAAUACAGAAUAUCACAUCAUGUGGCUUCCAUAUUUAAUCUUUUGGAACAGUCUUCUGAGACUUCCUAGGAUGAAAGAAAAUGUGAAGGAAAAGGCUGAACCAUCAGCCAGAACCAACUGACACACUUGAGAGUGAAGCCAGCGUGGGACUCCUAGCUCAACUCUGCGAGUGAACCUAGACAAAAUCGGACAUUUCACAAAAAUUUGAGAAAUAAAAAUUGUUAUUGUUUUAAUCCUC
This 5424-nucleotide long non-coding RNA is filed under the name Sus scrofa (pig). Its description in RNAcentral is "lncRNA (ENSSSCG00015015714.1)". Lineage: Eukaryota; Metazoa; Chordata; Mammalia; Artiodactyla; Suidae. The record is from RNAcentral.